AAUGUAUUGCAUACAUCCAAUACAUGCAAAUCCUCUCCCAUGAGUGAAGGGUUUGAUACACAAGACCUGAUCACAGACCCUCCUCUGUCUUUCGAUCCCCUGUUGCUCUCUGAAAUGUGUAGACUUGUAGUAACACAUCCACCUCAACAGAAAUGUCUUCCUUGAGGUAUUUUGAGAAAUUUAAACAUGAGGGGAGUCUUUGCACUCCACCACCACCUUAGUAAAAAGAACAAAGCAAGCUAAAAAAAAAAGCUUACUGCUUUUGUAAUGGAAAGUAAAAACGGUCCUUUAUAAACUGCAUGUUAACAUGAAUGUACUUGUGAAAGGAAUAUAAGGUUAUAAAAGAGGUUUCUAAAUGCCUCAAAAUGAGGGCCUUUCCUUACUGCAGCUUUCUUUUAUUCAUUUAUCUGCAGUAAUAUGGAGCUAAAUUAGUU
Gasterosteus aculeatus aculeatus (three-spined stickleback) is the source of this 434-nucleotide long non-coding RNA. NCBI's taxonomy places the organism in Eukaryota, Metazoa, Chordata, Actinopteri, Perciformes, Gasterosteidae. The record is from Ensembl.